RNAcentral lists this ribosomal RNA (483 nucleotides) under uncultured bacterium. RNAcentral describes it as "SSU rRNA". It matches the Rfam family "Bacterial small subunit ribosomal RNA", at positions 26 to 518 of the family's 1533-position model. The record is from RNAcentral.
AGGACGAACGCUGGCGGCGUGCCUAACACAUGCAAGUCGAACGCGCUCCAUUCGGUAGCAAUACUGAUGAAGAGCGAGUGGCGAACGGGUGAGUAGCACGUGAGCAACCUGCCCCGAAGACUGGGACAACACCGGGAAACCGGUGCUAAUACCGGAUAUCCCUAUCGGAUCGCAUGAUCUGAUAAGGAAAUGUUUUUCGCUUCGGGAGGGGCUCGCGGCCUAUCAGCUAGUUGGUGGGGUAACGGCCUACCAAGGCAUCGACGGGUAGCUGGUCUGAGAGGACGAUCAGCCACACUGGGACUGAGACACGGCCCAGACUCCUACGGGAGGCAGCAGUGGGGAAUCUUGCGCAAUGGGCGAAAGCCUGACGCAGCAACGCCGCGUGGAGGACGAAGGCUUUCUGAGUUGUAAACUCCUUUCAGCAGGGACGAUUGUGACGGUACCUGCAGAAGAAGCACCGGCCAACUACGUGCCAGCAGCCGA